Molecule: ribosomal RNA, 253 nt
Filed under: uncultured bacterium
Lineage: Bacteria
Description: partial 16S ribosomal RNA
Rfam family: Bacterial small subunit ribosomal RNA
Source: RNAcentral
UACGAAGGGGGCUAGCGUUGCUCGGAAUCACUGGGCGUAAAGCGCACGUAGGCGGCUUUUUAAGUCAGGGGUGAAAUCCUGGAGCUCAACUCCAGAACUGCCUUUGAUACUGAGAAGCUUGAGUCCGGGAGAGGUGAGUGGAACUGCGAGUGUAGAGGUGAAAUUCGUAGAUAUUCGCAAGAGCACCAGUGGCGAAGGCGGCUCACUGGCCCGGUACUGACGCUGAGGUGCGAAAGCGUGGGUAGCAAACAGG